Molecule: ribosomal RNA, 515 nt
Filed under: uncultured bacterium
Lineage: Bacteria
Description: partial 16S ribosomal RNA
Rfam family: Bacterial small subunit ribosomal RNA
Source: RNAcentral
GAUGAACGCUGGCGGCGUGCCUAAUACAUGCAAGUCGAGCGAAUGGAUUGAGAGCUUGCUCUUGUGAAGUUAGCGGCGGACGGGUGAGUAACACGUGGGUAACCUGCCCAUCAGACUGGGAUAACUACGGGAAACCGGGGCUAAUACCGGAUAACAUUUUGAACCGCAUGGUUCGAAAUUGAAAGGCGGCUUCGGCUGUCACCUAUGGAUGGACCCGCGUCGCAUUAGCUAGUUGGUGAGGUAACGGCUCACCAAGGCAACGAUGCGUAGCCGACCUGAGAGGGUGAGCGGCCACACGGGGACUGAGACACGGCCCAGACUCCUACGGGAGGCAGCAGUAGGGAACCUUCCGCAAUGGACGAAAGUCUGACGGAGCAACGCCGCGUGAGUGAUGAAGGCUUUCGGGUCGUAAAACUCUGUUGUUAGGGAAGAACAAGUGCUAGUUGAAUAAGCUGGCACCUUGACGGUACCUAACCAGAAAGCCACGGCUAACUACGUGCCAGCAGCCGCCGUAA